Molecule: long non-coding RNA, 1431 nt
Organism: Hemiscyllium ocellatum (epaulette shark)
Lineage: Eukaryota; Metazoa; Chordata; Chondrichthyes; Orectolobiformes; Hemiscylliidae
Exons: 7
Source: RefSeq, a predicted model, not a curated record
UGCAGAGUUGAUUCAGGCGGAACUCAGCAGGCUGAAGAACAAGGGAAGUGAGAACUGAUGCCUUGUGUUGUGGUGAAAAUAUCCCGAAUCUUGGACGGAGAGACCUGAGUUCAAUUCGCAGCUGGUGCAGCAACAAAAGCCACGAAGCAGUGCGCAUGCUCCACCCAACAACGGUACCAGGAUAAUUGAUGUCAGCGGCGGACCAAUGGAAGGACAGGGGCGGGGCUGGAGGACCUGCGGGGCGGUUGGCCCUCCGACCAAUCAGUGAAUGAGAGGCGGGACCUGAUUAUACCACGUGAUCGUCCUCGCGGACAGCGCGGCUGUGCGGGUGGAGAGCUGUCGCUACCACUUUCUCUGGAAGUUCAUUCCACACAGGCUCGUGUGUUAUAGUGACAGGCAGCUGGAAGCUCGGGCUGUGUUUUUGCAGCAGAACGUAGAUCAUCAGUCGCCAUUUCCGCCACCUCCACUGAGAUGCUGCCAGACACAGGUUCCCGUCCCCUCCAUUAACAGCUAUGCACCCUCCCCAGCCAGGAUAUUAAAUCAGAAUAAUUGAGGCUAGGAACUCAAAAGCAAGUUUUUACAGUCAAUGGAGUCAUCGGGAUCUGAAUAUCAUUUGCAUUUGACUGUGGACGGAGAAAGGAUGAGGCUGUCACUGGCUCGGCCAGCAUUUAUUGCUGCGUUUACCCAGUGGGCAGUUAAGAAUCAACCACGUUGCUAUAGGUCUGGAGUCCCAUGCAAACCAGACCAGAUCCCAGUGAUCAGUGCCAAAGCCCCAUUGCCUGUGGAGAGGGUGAUGUUUGAUUUCCCUGUCCAGCUGCAGUUCAUGUGGUGAAGGUGCUCCCACAAUGUGGUUGGAUAACAAGACCGAUGCUGUUUCCAAUCAUGAUCAGAAACAAACCUCAGAAUACACAUGGUUCAUAGAUGGAUGUCAAUAGCCCAUCAACAUCCAACUCCUGCAAUUAUUCAGCAAAUGUAUGUGUGAUUAACCAGUCCUGAUGUCAGUCCUGAUGUACCAGAAAAUCGCUGUUUACUCUGUGCAGAUGGGCAGUGAUGUGGGGAAGUAUUGGCCGAGUGAUAUUGUCGCUGGACAGUUAGUCCAAAGCCCCAGAUAAACUUCUGGAGACCUGAGUUCAAAGCCUACUGCUGCAGAUGGGUGAAUUUGAAUUAAAUUUUUAAAAACUCGGGAAUUUAAGAGUCUCAUGAUGACCAUUAAUCGAUUUUCCGAAAAACCCAUCUGGAUCACUAAUGCCCUUUCAGGAAGGAAGCUGCCAUCCUUACCUGGUCUGGCCUACAUUGUGACUUCAGACCCACAACAAUGUGGUCGACUCUUACCUGCCCCUGGGCAAUUAGGGAUGGGCAGGAAAUGCUGCCGGGCCAGCGACACCCUCAUCUUGUGAAUGAAUAAAGGAAAAUAAAAGUCUCUACCCAGUG